GGCAGCUAUACAUGCAGUCGAGCGGACAGAUGGGAGCUUGCUCCCUGAUGUUAGCGGCGGACGGGUGAGUAACACGUGGGUAACCUGCCUGUAAGACUGGGAUAACUCCGGGAAACCGGGGCUAAUACCGGAUGGUUGUUUGAACCGCAUGGUUCAGACAUAAAAGGUGGCUUCGGCUACCACUUACAGAUGGACCCGCGGCGCAUUAGCUAGUUGGUGAGGUAACGGCUCACCAAGGCGACGAUGCGUAGCCGACCUGAGAGGGUGAUCGGCCACACUGGGACUGAGACACGGCCCAGACUCCUACGGGAGGCAGCAGUAGGGAAUCUUCCGCAAUGGACGAAAGUCUGACGGAGCAACGCCGCGUGAGUGAUGAAGGUUUUCGGAUCGUAAAGCUCUGUUGUUAGGGAAGAACAAGUGCCGUUCAAAUAGGGCGGCACCUUGACGGUACCUAACCAGAAAGCCACGGCUAACUACGUGCCAGCAGCCGCGGUAAUACGUAGGUGGCAAGCGUUGUCCGGAAUUAUUGGGCGUAAAGGGCUCGCAGGCGGUUUCUUAAGUCUGAUGUGAAAGCCCCCGGCUCAACCGGGGAGGGUCAUUGGAAACUGGGGAACUUGAGUGCAGAAGAGGAGAGUGGAAUUCCACGUGUAGCGGUGAAAUGCGUAGAGAUGUGGAGGAACACCAGUGGCGAAGGCGACUCUCUGGUCUGUAACUGACGCUGAGGAGCGAAAGCGUGGGGAGCGAACAGGAUUAGAUACCCUGGUAGUCCACGCCGUAAACGAUGAGUGCUAAGUGUUAGGGGGUUUCCGCCCCUUAGUGCUGCAGCUAACGCAUUAAGCACUCCGCCUGGGGAGUACGGUCGCAAGACUGAAACUCAAAGGAAUUGACGGGGGCCCGCACAAGCGGUGGAGCAUGUGG
Molecule: ribosomal RNA, 918 nt
Filed under: Bacillus vallismortis
Lineage: Bacteria; Bacillati; Bacillota; Bacilli; Caryophanales; Bacillaceae
Description: bacterial SSU rRNA
Rfam family: Bacterial small subunit ribosomal RNA
Source: RNAcentral